UUCGUCCGUCUAUUCAGAGGAAAAGAAGAACGGGGGGAGAGCAUGCGGGUGAACAACCUACGUACAAUUAAAAGCCAGCUAAUGAUGUGUAGAAGUUCCAUAGUCUCUUCGACCGACCCGAGUAGAUCUCAUCAUGUGGACCUCCUUCCUUCGUUCUAGUACCGAAACGGCCGGAGCUAGAGGGUGGACCGAGUGAACCUUGUCUUCGAUACCGACGUCCUGUGUCCCUUUUCGAAAACCACGGGGUUCCCUUGAUGGAACUCGUAGGUUCCGGAGUUCUCCCUUGACCACUUGAACAACCUUCUACAUUAGGAACAUGCAGUCUAGUUAUAAAUAAUAGAAACGGAAGCUACUUCGCCGUUUGGGUUAGGUGGACAGUUCUACUAGUCUCAUGAGAUACUCGUCCGGUGUGAAUUACGACUUGAAUAACUAGGGAUAGGGUGAUGCGGCUGCUUAUUGGGAAAAUGAUAGAGUUACUUGAAACGAGCAC
This 490-nucleotide ribosomal RNA is filed under the name Triticum aestivum (bread wheat). RNAcentral's name for it is "partial small subunit ribosomal RNA". The record is from RNAcentral. Lineage: Eukaryota; Viridiplantae; Streptophyta; Magnoliopsida; Poales; Poaceae.